RNAcentral lists this ribosomal RNA (603 nucleotides) under uncultured fungus. Its description in RNAcentral is "eukaryotic LSU rRNA". It matches the Rfam family "Eukaryotic large subunit ribosomal RNA", at positions 23 to 641 of the family's 3401-position model. The record is from RNAcentral. Lineage: Eukaryota; Fungi.
ACCCGCUGAACUUAAGCAUAUCAAUAAGCGGAGGAAAAGAAACCAACAGGGAUUGCCCUAGUAACGGCGAGUGAAGCGGCAACAGCUCAAAUUUGAAAUCUGGCGUCUUUGGCGUCCGAGUUGUAAUUUGCAGAGGGCGCUUUGGCAUUGGCAGCGGUCCAAGUUCCUUGGAACAGGACGUCACAGAGGGUGAGAAUCCCGUACGUGGUCGCUAGCCUUUACCGUGUAAAGCCCCUUCGACGAGUCGAGUUGUUUGGGAAUGCAGCUCUAAAUGGGAGGUAAAUUUCUUCUAAAGCUAAAUACUGGCCAGAGACCGAUAGCGCACAAGUAGAGUGAUCGAAAGAUGAAAAGCACUUUGGAAAGAGAGUUAAAAAGCACGUGAAAUUGUUGAAAGGGAAGCGCUUGCAGCCAGACUUGCCUGUAGUUGCUCAUCCGGGUUUUUACCCGGUGCACUCUUCUAUAGGCAGGCCAGCAUCAGUUUGGGCGGUUGGAUAAAGGUCUCUGUCAUGUACCUCUCUUCGGGGAGAACCUAUAGGGGAGACGACAUGCAACCAGCCCGGACUGAGGUCCGCGCAUCUGCUAGGAUGCUGGCGUAAUGGCUGU